GUUUUUUUUUUCACUUUUCUGCAUAUAGGAUAAUUCAUAGGCAUAUAUGUUUAUAUUUACAUACAUACAGCAUGGAGUAUUAUUCAGCCAGGUAAAGGAAUAAAAUAAUGUCUUUUGCAGCAACUUGGGUGGAACUGGAGGCCAACAUUCUAAGAAAAGUAUCUCAGGAACUUUAGAACACAUAUACCCCCUAGGUGUAUAUUCAAGAGAAAGGCAGACAUGUGUUCAUGACAAACUAGAGCUGGAACAUUCACAGAGAUCCAACUCAAUAAGCCCAAAUGGAAAUUCACCCAAAUCCCCACCAGCCAUAGAAUGUGUUGUGUUUUUAAAAUGUGGCAGAAAAGUUUUUGCCACUCUCACCAUUGAUAUGUGGGGCCUAUGUGCCAUCCCAGUGAGUAUGGGUGGGCUGGUGACUUCUAAAACUAACAGGUGUAGGGAAGUGACUCAAUGUGACAUCAAAGUACGGGUCAUAAACAGCAUGAGGUCUGGUAUAAGAAACCUGAUUUUUGCGACAGCACCCUGCUGGAGGGGUCAUGUGUAGAGGCUCAGGAGAAAGUGUCCACAGAGCCAGCCUUCUGGCCAUGCCCACCAAAUUAGAUUGGCGCAUGUGAUGUACUACAGAGUGUCAAGAUGGGCAGGUCCCUUAGGACUCUACAGAACCAUAAUGAGAGAGAAAGCGAGAGGUGGGAGGAGAGAUCACGAAGUAUACUGCUGUUGCUUCCAUAGUAAAUAUUCACGUGCAUGUGUUUGUGGAUGAAUCCAGAUCCUGGAGUUCCGCUAGUGCUUAAUCACAGAAGUAGGAAGACGUCCGGCACGUGUGGACAAUAUCGGAGGGUACAGAUCCUCAAGAAUUUCUUCCCGUUGGAGGACUAGGUGAAAGGAAGCUGGUGUUGUGAUUGAAAUUUUCUGUGUAUUGUCGGUGAUACUCCGGGAACAAGGCCAGCUCAGGAAAGAAAACCGGAAUCUCAUUUUCCUCCUACAAAUGUUAUCACAAUUUGUAAGAUUUAUAAUUAGCGAUGAAUGCACACCGCUGGUGCAAAUUUGCCAGGAGACAUUAUUUUUUCAAAAAUAAUAUGUUAUCUUACCUUCUUAGAGUUCAGGACGGUCAUGCCGAGACGUUGCUGGAUGGAUGAGUAGAUUGCAGUAUCACUUGUGCUGGGAUGAGACGCUUCAUCUUGUCGAAGAAAUCUGUGAGCUUGUUUGGGAAGCCGUGCAUAUCCAACAUGUUGCAUGCAAAGGAAACUGUGGCCCUCAGUAGACACUUGAGCAUUUUUGCGAUCAGAAAUGAUGCAAUCAGCUUUAAGUCGACAAUUGUGUAUUCCGUUGCAAGCACCGUUGAUAGCUCUGGUAGGAAUUCCUCCGUCUUGUACAAGAUCAAGUCAGCCAGUUUAUGUAUGGCGAUGUUUGUGACCACGGCUGUUAUAAAGCAAAUAAGCGAGCGCAUAGAAAA
Molecule: non-coding RNA, 1450 nt
Organism: Microcebus murinus (gray mouse lemur)
Lineage: Eukaryota; Metazoa; Chordata; Mammalia; Primates; Cheirogaleidae
Source: RefSeq, a predicted model, not a curated record